UUGUAGCCCUGAUGGAAGUGGAAAGCCUUUUGUAAUAAAAUUGAUUUUUUUCCUGGACAAAAAGAGCGACCAACGGAAGCUCCUUUUUGUCCUUGGAAAAAACAAUUUUAUAAAAAAGCUUGUAACGUACAGCAGGAAAUUGC
Molecule: small RNA, 143 nt
Filed under: Flavobacterium sp. 5
Lineage: Bacteria; Pseudomonadati; Bacteroidota; Flavobacteriia; Flavobacteriales; Flavobacteriaceae
Description: Flavo-1 RNA
Rfam family: Flavo-1 RNA
Source: RNAcentral